UUUAGGUGUACAAACGUUGUUCGGACUUUACGAACACAGUUCGGACGUACGUUUGGGAUUUCAAAUAUCUUUUCUACUAUUUAGAAACAGCAACUUUAGGUCAGACUUACAUUUGGGAUUUCAAAUAGCGUAAAUGUAAAUAGAUAAUUCUGCAUGUCUUCUAAGAGGGACACGUGGGCCAAUUACGUUUAGCAAAUCAUGUGUACUACACUUACAUUUAUUUAAUAACUAUAAUCAAUAGCAGUAUUUGUGUCUCAUUCACUGCAUAGAAGACCAUCUUUGUCUAACACCACUGAAGCUAACUCUCAAAGGCCUUUUGCUUCCCUCAAAUCCUCUUAUCCAGCUUGGGAAUCUGUAAGUUUUUUUCACAUUGAGUUUAUUUAGUUCAAUUUCUUCAUACAUUCUUGGUUUAUGAUGGCUAAGGCUUUGAUUAACCAAAGAUUGUAUUUUUAUUUUGAGUUUUUAAGGGUAAAUCUUCCUCUGAUUAAACUCUUCUGAGUGACAUACACUCAAUUAAACUGUUAUCAGAAUGUAAUAAGCCCCUUUUUUCCGCAGCUUCUCUAAAUGUACUGCAACAUUUCCCAUUCACUUUAAGAUCUUCAUAUGAUUUGGGUCCUCUUACGUUCAUUAGAAGUAAUCUAAGAUAAUAUCUUUCUCCUUCUGUCAGAUGACAUGUUACAAUACGUCCAAUAGCUGGACGUUGUUUUCGAUGUGACCACAUUUUGUCAGUUGAUGACCACACAAAAUAUUCAGGAAACUCUUUAUACAGUAAAUUGAGAUUUAUAGCAUCUUUGUUAGUCCUGUUCAUUGUAAAAAAUUCAGUUAACAUUGUUUUGUUAACCAUUGGAUUGUUUAUUAUUUGAUUCACACUUUGGUUACUUUUGAAAGACAUAAAUUGUUGUCACUUUGGUUACUUUUGAAAGACAUAAAUUCUUGUCCUUCAAAAUGUAGCUGAAGGUGGCAAACAGUUGGAGCCAUUUCACUUAUGGAAAAUCUAAACAAACGCCAUGCGGCCUCGGGUGGGGAAACCCAUCUUGCAGAUUGGUAUUCUUUAAUUUCAUUUAUUUCUAUAUUUGUAUCAUUACCAUGCACAGAAAAAGCAAUUUUGUCAUGUCCUUUACAAAUAUAUUUGUAAAUAUAUUUGACAACUUUUAUAUCAGAACAUAUUUCAACAUUGAUAUGACAAUUGAACUUACAGAGUAAAUAUGGAUUGUAUGGAACAACCCAAGAAUUAUCAAUUUUGCGUCCUUUAACUUCGACUUCGACUGGUGUUAUUUUUCGUCUUCGGUAAAGUGGAUAUGAGUUUUUUUCCCUUUGUUGUUUGUUCAACAAUUUCUUUUGGAUAUUUAAACUUACAUUUUCCCUUCUUUUCCAUGCAAGAAUUUGUAGGAUUUAAAUAGCCACAAGGUCCAUGAAUCAUGUGUUUAAUUACAAGUUUAUAUAGAUCAGGGUCUGUGUUGCGAUCAGGUAAUUCAGCACGAACAAUUUUAUCAUAAGCUUGUGGAGUGAGUAAUUUGUAUCUAUCUUUGAGUAUAAUAAGGAAAUGAGCAUGUGGAAGACCGCGUUUCUGAAACACGAUAGUAUACAUAAAAGUUGCAACCUUUCCAAAAAUAUUCUUUUUCUGAAUAUCUGCUUUAAGUUCUUCUACUUUUGCUCUAAAUACUCUACUUAUUAAAUCGGGUCUAUUUUGGAUCUCAUCUGUUGGCAAUAAAUGUUCUUGUAUUUCAGGCCAAGAAGGAUUGCAAGUCAUUGUUAAAAAUAUGUCGGGCUUUCCAAAACGUUGUACCAAUGCAAUAACAUCCAUAUAUCUUCGACGCAUGUCUCUUGGACCUCCUAUAAAACUACCAGAAAGAAAUGUUUUUUUUCCAAUAUUUGAAGCAUCUCUUUCUCCUUGUCUUAAAAGAUCAAUAAUCCCUUGUAGUACUUCAACUCUAAAUAAAUCUUGAUUAAAUAAAAUAAAAUCUAAUCUUUGUAUCUCAAGUUUUAUAUAUUGGUUAACAAUUUACCGUUGAAAUACCCUUCCAGAAUGUAAAGUUUCAUUCGAUUCAUUGCCUCUUAUUUGAAUUUUGUAACAAUAAUAUUCACGGCAAGAAACCGUUUCUCUUUUCUUUUUUCCUUUUGAUAAAACUUCAGAUUCCAUAUCAAGCAGCCCAUCGAUUGAAGUCA
Non-coding RNA from Nicotiana tabacum (common tobacco), 2166 nucleotides. NCBI's taxonomy places the organism in Eukaryota, Viridiplantae, Streptophyta, Magnoliopsida, Solanales, Solanaceae. The record is from RefSeq and is a predicted model, not a curated record.